This 406-nucleotide ribosomal RNA is filed under the name uncultured prokaryote. RNAcentral describes it as "bacterial SSU rRNA". It matches the Rfam family "Bacterial small subunit ribosomal RNA", at positions 355 to 774 of the family's 1533-position model. The record is from RNAcentral.
UGGGGAAUUUUCCACAAUGGGCGAAAGCCUGACGGAGCAAUACCGCGUGAGGGAUGAAUGCCUAUGGGUUGUAAACCUCUUUUUUCAGGGAGGAACAAAAUGACGUGUACCUGAAGAAUAAGCAUCGGCUAACUCCGUGCCAGCAGCCGCGGUAAGACGGAGGAUGCAAGUGUUAUCCGGAAUCACUGGGCGUAAAGCGUCUGUAGGUGGUUUAAUAAGUCAACUGUUAAAUCUUGAGGCUCAACCUCGAAAUCGCAGUCGAAACUAUUAGACUAGAGUAUAGUAGGGGUAAAGGGAAUUUCCAGUGGAGCGGUGAAAUGCGUAGAGAUUGGAAAGAACACCGAUGGCGAAGGCACUUUACUGGGCUAUUACUAACACUCAGAGACGAAAGCUAGGGUAGCAAAUG